RNAcentral lists this unclassified non-coding RNA (222 nucleotides) under Hevea brasiliensis (rubber tree). The record is from RNAcentral. Lineage: Eukaryota; Viridiplantae; Streptophyta; Magnoliopsida; Malpighiales; Euphorbiaceae.
AUUAUUAGUGUGGGACGUUUAAUAAGGCGUAAUGGUGAAUAAAGGGACUAUACUGAUGCAGAAAUAUGAAGUGGGGAGAUUGCUAGGGCAGGGAACCUUUGCCAAGGUCUAUUAUGCUAGGAAUCUCGAGACUACUCAGAGCGUUGCUAUAAAGGUGAUUGACAAGGAGAAGGUUCUCAGAGUGGGGCUCAUCGAUCAGAUCAAACGGGAGAUCUCAGUGAU